Molecule: ribosomal RNA, 1188 nt
Filed under: Salmonella enterica
Lineage: Bacteria; Pseudomonadati; Pseudomonadota; Gammaproteobacteria; Enterobacterales; Enterobacteriaceae
Description: partial 23S ribosomal RNA
Rfam family: Bacterial large subunit ribosomal RNA
Source: RNAcentral
GGGUUGUGAGGUUAAGCGACUAAGCGUACACGGUGGAUGCCCUGGCAGUCAGAGGCGAUGAAGGGCGUGCUAAUCUGCGAUAAGCGCCGGUAAGGUGAUAUGAACCGUUAUAACCGGCGAUACCCGAAUGGGGAAACCCAGUGUGAUUCGUCACACUAUCAUUACGUGAAUACAUAGCGUAAUGAAGCGAACCGGGGGAACUGAAACAUCUAAGUACCCCGAGGAAAAGAAAUCAACCGAGAUUCCCCCAGUAGCGGCGAGCGAACGGGGAGGAGCCCAGAGCCUGAAUCAGCAUGUGUGUUAGUGGAAGCGUCUGGAAAGGCGCGCGAUACAGGGUGACAGCCCCGUACACAAAAGCGCAUGUGUUGUGAGCUCGAUGAGUAGGGCGGGACACGUGGUAUCCUGUCUGAAUAUGGGGGGACCAUCCUCCAAGGCUAAAUACUCCUGACUGACCGAUAGUGAACCAGUACCGUGAGGGAAAGGCGAAAAGAACCCCGGCGAGGGGAGUGAAAAAGAACCUGAAACCGUGUACGUACAAGCAGUGGGAGCACCCUUUGGGGUGUGACUGCGUACCUUUUGUAUAAUGGGUCAGCGACUUAUAUUCUGUAGCAAGGUUAACCGAAUAGGGGAGCCGGAGGGAAACCGAGUCUUAAUUGGGCGUUAAGUUGCAGGGUAUAGACCCGAAACCCGGUGAUCUAGCCAUGGGCAGGUUGAAGGUUGGGUAACACUAACUGGAGGACCGAACCGACUAAUGUUGAAAAAUUAGCGGAUGACCUGUGGCUGGGGGUGAAAGGCCAAUCAAACCGGGAGAUAGCUGGUUCUCCCCGAAAGCUAUUUAGGUAGCGCCUCGUGAACUCAUCUCCGGGGGUAGAGCACUGUUUCGGCUAGGGGGCCAUCCCGGCUUACCAACCCGAUGCAAACUGCGAAUACCGGAGAAUGUUAUCACGGGAGACACACGGCGGGUGCUAACGUCCGUCGUGAAGAGGGAAACAACCCAGACCGCCAGCUAAGGUCCCAAAGUCAUAGUUAAGUGGGAAACGAUGUGGGAAGGCCCAGACAGCCAGGAUGUUGGCUUAGAAGCAGCCAUCAUUUAAAGAAAGCGUAAUAGCUCACUGGUCGAGUCGGCCUGCGCGGAAGAUGUAACGGGGCUAAACCAUGCACCGAAGCUGCGGCAGCGACACUAUGUGU